CAACGAGCAACACGGCAGACCACUGCCC
This 28-nucleotide small RNA is filed under the name Bombyx mori (domestic silkworm). Its description in RNAcentral is "ovarian small RNA-12802". Lineage: Eukaryota; Metazoa; Arthropoda; Insecta; Lepidoptera; Bombycidae. The record is from RNAcentral.